This 253-nucleotide ribosomal RNA is filed under the name uncultured bacterium. RNAcentral describes it as "partial 16S ribosomal RNA". It matches the Rfam family "Bacterial small subunit ribosomal RNA", at positions 524 to 776 of the family's 1533-position model. The record is from RNAcentral.
UACGUAGGGUGCGAGCGUUGUCCGGAAUUAUUGGGCGUAAAGAGCUUGUAGGUGGCUCGUUGCGUCGGGAGUGAAAACCUGCGGCUUAACCGCAGGCCUGCUUCCGAUACGGGCGAGCUAGAGUUCGGUAGGGGAGACUGGAAUUCCUGGUGUAGCGGUGGAAUGCGCAGAUAUCAGGAGGAACACCGGUGGCGAAGGCGGGUCUCUGGGCCGAUACUGACGCUGAGGAGCGAAAGCGUGGGGAGCGAACAGG